AGUCUUCAAAAAAGAAUAUAUCGAUUGCAUUGUAUGUAGUAACGGAUGCAAUCAUACCAGCACUAAUGCACCAGAUCCCAUAAAACUCCGUAGUUAAGCGUGCUUGGGCGAGAGUAGUAUUAGGAUGGGUGACCUCCCGGAAAGUCCUCGUGUUGCAUCCCUC
RNAcentral lists this ribosomal RNA (163 nucleotides) under Arabidopsis thaliana (thale cress). The record is from RNAcentral. Lineage: Eukaryota; Viridiplantae; Streptophyta; Magnoliopsida; Brassicales; Brassicaceae.